UACGUAGGGGGCAAGCGUUGUCCGGAAUCAUUGGGCGUAAAGAGCGUGUAGGCGGUUCGAUAAGUCUGCUGUGAAAGUCCAGGGCUCAACCCUGGGAUGCCGGUGGAUACUGUCGGGCUAGAGUACGGAAGAGGCGAGUGGAAUUCCCGGUGUAGCGGUGAAAUGCGCAGAUAUCGGGAGGAACACCGGUGGCGAAGGCGGCUCUCUGGACGGUGACUGACGCUGAGACGCGAAAGCGUGGGGAGCAAACGGG
This 253-nucleotide ribosomal RNA is filed under the name uncultured bacterium. RNAcentral describes it as "partial 16S ribosomal RNA". It matches the Rfam family "Bacterial small subunit ribosomal RNA", at positions 524 to 776 of the family's 1533-position model. The record is from RNAcentral.